RNAcentral lists this long non-coding RNA (1429 nucleotides) under Canis lupus dingo (dingo). RNAcentral describes it as "lncRNA (ENSCAFG00020003687.1)". The record is from RNAcentral. Lineage: Eukaryota; Metazoa; Chordata; Mammalia; Carnivora; Canidae.
CAACAAACCUCAACUUAAAAGCUUUUAGAUGGUUUCCUGUUGCUUACAGAACGUAAUUAACGCUUCUUAGCAUAAUUUGCUAGGCCGUUCUACAUAACCCAGGCCCAAGCCACCUCAACCGCUGUUGCUUUUUUUAAAAUAUUUUAUUUAUUUAUGAGAGAGAGAGAGAGGCAGAGACACGGGCAGAGGGAGAAGCAGGCUCCAUGCAGGGAGCCCAACGUGGGACUCGAUCCCAGGACCCCAGGAUCACGCCCUGGGCCGAAGGCGGCGCUAAACCGCUGAGCCACCAGGGAUCCGAACUCGCUGUGUUCCCUGAUACUCUGGAACUUCCCUUUAAAUUCGAUGGUCAAAAAUUUUUGCGGUUGCGACCAAUUCCACAUUGCUCCACUUCUCAGUGCCUUUGCUUAUGCGCAUUUGCCAUUCCCACCCGGGAAUCUCGCCGUUACCUUCCUGAAAACUCAGGCAUCAGAAAGUUCUCCCUGAAUCCCCGGUGGCCUGUUAAGUAAACUACGUUCCCUCUACCAUAUUUAUCAAUGUGUCGGUUCUUUUGUGCCUCUAGACAGCACAUUCCUUGGGAGCAGAAGUCAGGCGUUUACAGCCCAGGUGUUGGGUUUCCCUUCUGAGGUAGCAGGUACGACGAGAACGGGGCGGAGUCUGGAGUUCGUCUGAGGGGCUGAUAGGUGGGCCCGCGGAAGGCGAGUGACGUAGUGGGACGAGGUUUCGUGAGUGGAUGGGAACGAGAAAGAAAUGGGACUUUAACUUCCUGGCCACAAGACAGACUGCUAUGGUGUGGGGGCAGGCAGUGAUAAGGCAGUGGGGGAGCGCUAGGAGGGAAGAAUUACUUUCAGGGACACGAAAGAAUUUUCGGGAAGAAGACAUUUGUUGGUGGGCGUUCUGGAAGACUACCCGCCCCCCGGAACCUGGCGUCUUCCGUACUUGGUCCUCCCCGGCGGAGGCACGCUCCCCCCCCGACCCCCCCUUGCGCCUGCGCGCGGCCGCGCCCUUGCUCUUAAUCCCGCCUCUUCCGGCCACCUCUACGGGUGGGGUGCUGGGGGUGUGGUGGCCCUGGCAAGAUGGCGGCUCCCGAGAAGAUGAUGUUUCCGGAGAAACCAAGCCACAAAAAGUACAGGGCUGCCCUGAAAAAGGCGAAACGAAAGAAACGACGGCAGGAACUGGCUCGAUUGAGAGACUCAGGACUCUUACAGAAGGAGGAAGAGGAUGCUUUUAUUGAAGAACAACGCCUAGAAGAAGAGAAGCUGUUGGAGAUAGAGAGGCAAAAAUUACAUGAAGCGUGGUUGCUUCGGGAGCAGAAGGCACAAGAAGAAUUCAGAAGAAAGAAGGAAAAGGAAGAGGCGGCUAGAAAACGGCAGGAAGAACAAGAGGUAGGAGGUUAAUCAGAUGGCCAACUAACUAGUUAACUAAAAUAGCU